Molecule: long non-coding RNA, 536 nt
Filed under: Homo sapiens (human)
Lineage: Eukaryota; Metazoa; Chordata; Mammalia; Primates; Hominidae
Description: HSALNT0399427
Source: RNAcentral
CUCAUUGUCUUUCGCUGCCACCAUGUAAGAAGAGUCUUUUGCCUCCCGUCAUGAUUCUGAGGGCUCCCCAACUACAUAGAACUAUAUUUCUUCAAAGAACAAAAAAAAACCAGUAUGAAGCAUAUGAAACUUCAAGCAGAACAAACUUGGUUUGUCUCCUUCCAGAGAAAAGGUACUGAAGUUCCCAUACCUGUAGAGCUGCAAAGAUCAACAUUUCUUCCUCUGUGCAAUCAAUUUCUUCUAAGAGAAUGGCCCACCUGGCUUGCUCAUAGAGUUGGUUUAUUCGGACAGCAUCAUACUAGAGACAAAAACAGAGGUGUGUGUGUAAUGAGGUAUAUUUAUAUCCCACAAUACAAAGAUUCUGAAACAACUGAGGCCAUUCUCUGUUAAUCAGAUGCAGCAAACUUCAGCUCAGGGUGUUUCCCCGCACAAGCUCUCUCUUUGCCUGCUGCCAUCCAUGUAAGACGUGACUUGCUCCUCCUUGCCUUCCUCCAUGAUUGUGAGGCCUCCCCAGCCAUGUGGAACUGUAAGUCCAU